Terrapene triunguis (Three-toed box turtle) is the source of this 361-nucleotide long non-coding RNA. RefSeq lists it as uncharacterized. NCBI's taxonomy places the organism in Eukaryota, Metazoa, Chordata, Testudines, Emydidae. The transcript has 3 exons. The record is from RefSeq and is a predicted model, not a curated record.
CCAGGCUCCGCAAAUCCGGGGCUGGACUUCCCGGGUCACACGCUGCCGCCGCCUCCAUUGUGAGCCGAGCCCGGGCCGAGCCUGCAGGAGUUCCCAUUUCCAGACCUGACGUGAUCUCCUGGCUGGAGUGAAGGGAGGAGCUGUGGGUCCCCAGUCUCCAGGGAGAGGAGGAAAGAGAGAUACUGAGAGAUGCCCGCAGGGGGCGUGACGUGAACUGGAUUAUCGCUGUGUCUCUGGGACGGUGAGUGAGACCAAGGAGGAGAAUCCUCAGCUGGGAGUCUGGAGUGGGGGAACCACACAGGACAGUUUGGGGAGAUCGUAGGAGACUCAGCCCAGGCCAUGCGGGCACCCGGGAAAAGAG